UAACGGCUUACCAAGCCGACGAUCAGUAGCCGGCCUGAGAGGGUGGACGGCCACAUUGGGACUGAGACACGGCCCAGACUCCUACGGGAGGCAGCAGUGGGGAAUAUUGCACAAUGGGGGAAACCCUGAUGCAGCGACGCCGCGUGACUGAAGAAGUAUUUCGGUAUGUAAAGGUCUAUCAGCAAGGAAGAAGAGAGACGGUACCUGACUAAGAAGCACCGGCUAAAUAC
Molecule: ribosomal RNA, 230 nt
Filed under: uncultured bacterium
Lineage: Bacteria
Description: partial 16S ribosomal RNA
Rfam family: Bacterial small subunit ribosomal RNA
Source: RNAcentral